UCCCCGCUUCUCCUCCCUGAGCGGGUGCCUGUGGUGAUUCGUAAAGGAUCCGAUCAGGCUGUUUGACCCGCCGUCAUGCGGCGGGUUUUUUUAU
This 94-nucleotide non-coding RNA is filed under the name Burkholderia sp. Leaf177. RNAcentral describes it as "Burkholderia RNA 7 (anti-hemB)". It matches the Rfam family "Burkholderia RNA 7 (anti-hemB)". From Rfam's summary of the family: This RNA motif was identified by computational search in b-proteobacteria Burkholderia. Co-purified with Hfq, expression confirmed by Northern blot. The record is from Rfam by way of RNAcentral. Lineage: Bacteria; Pseudomonadati; Pseudomonadota; Betaproteobacteria; Burkholderiales; Burkholderiaceae.